AGAUAUCAGCAAUGAUGUCUUAGCGGCGGACGGGUGAGUAACGCGUGGGCAACCUGCCUUUUACAGGGGGAUAACACUGGGAAACUAGUGCUAAUACCGCAUAACGUACCGAAGUGGCAUCACUAUGGUACCAAAGGAGAAAUCCGGUAAAAGAUGGGCCCGCGUCCGAUUAGCUAGUUGGUGGGGUAGAGGCCUACCAAGGCGACGAUCGGUAGCCGAACUGAGAGGUUGAUCGGCCACAUUGGGACUGAGAUACGGCCCAGACUCCUACGGGAGGCAGCAGUGGGGAAUAUUGCGCAAUGGGGGAAACCCUGACGCAGCAACGCCGCGUGCGGGACGACGGCCUUCGGGUUGUAAACCGCUUUUCUGGGGGACGAGUAAGGACGGUACCUCAGGAAUAAGUCUCGGCUAACUACGUGCCAGCAGCCGCGGUAAAACGUAGGAGGCGAGCGUUAUCCGGAUUUACUGGGCGUAAAGCGCACGCAGGUGGCUUAGCAAGUCGGACAUGAAAGCUCCUGGCUUAACUGGGAGAGGUGGUUCGAAACUGCUGAGCUUGAGGUUGGGAGAGGGACGUGGAAUUCCCGGUGUAGUGGUGGAAUGCGUAGAUAUCGGGAGGAACACCAGUGGCGCAAGCGGCGUCCUGGGCUGCAUCUGACGCUCAGACACGAAAGCUAGGGGAGCAAACGGGAUUAGAAACCCCGGUAGUCCUAGCCGUAAACGAUGUAGACUGGGUGUUGGCGGGGUAAAAGCCGUCAGUGCCGGAGCUAACGC
RNAcentral lists this ribosomal RNA (771 nucleotides) under uncultured Clostridium sp. RNAcentral describes it as "bacterial SSU rRNA". It matches the Rfam family "Bacterial small subunit ribosomal RNA", at positions 71 to 858 of the family's 1533-position model. The record is from RNAcentral. Lineage: Bacteria; Bacillati; Bacillota; Clostridia; Eubacteriales; Clostridiaceae.